AAGUCGGUUGUGAAAGCCUUCCGCUCAACGGAAGAACGGCAUCCGAUACUGCAUGGCUUGAGUGUGGGAGGGGAGAGUGGAACUUCUGGUGGAGCGGUGAAAUGCGUAGAUAUCAGAAGGAACACCGGCGGCGAAGGCGACUCUCUGGUCCAUAACUGACGCUGAGUGUGCGAAAGCUAGGGGAGCAAACGGGAUUAGAUACCCCGGUAGUCCUAGCCGUAAACGAC
This 227-nucleotide ribosomal RNA is filed under the name uncultured bacterium. RNAcentral describes it as "partial 16S ribosomal RNA". It matches the Rfam family "Bacterial small subunit ribosomal RNA", at positions 585 to 810 of the family's 1533-position model. The record is from RNAcentral.